Molecule: ribosomal RNA, 239 nt
Filed under: uncultured bacterium
Lineage: Bacteria
Description: partial 16S ribosomal RNA
Rfam family: Bacterial small subunit ribosomal RNA
Source: RNAcentral
UUAACCUGCCCAAGAGACUGGGAUAACACCUGGAAACAGAUGCUAGUACCGGAUAACAACACUAGACGCAUGUCUAGAGUUUAAAAGAUGGUUCUGCUAUCAUUCUUGGAUGGACCUGCGGUGCAUUAGCUAGUUGGUAAGGUAACGGCUUACCAAGGCAAUGAUGCAUAGCCGAGUUGAGAGACUGAUCGGCCACAUUGGGACUGAGACACGGCCCAAACUCCUACGGAAGGCAGCAG